This 337-nucleotide unclassified non-coding RNA is filed under the name soil metagenome. RNAcentral's name for it is "partial contains 5.8S ribosomal RNA, internal transcribed spacer 2, and large subunit ribosomal RNA". The stretch from base 1 to 120 matches the Rfam family "5.8S ribosomal RNA", at positions 35 to 154 of the family's 154-position model. The record is from RNAcentral.
GAUGAAGAACGUAGCGAAAUGCGAUAAGUAAUGUGAAUUGCAGAAUUCAGUGAAUCAUCGAAUCUUUGAACGCACAUUGCGCCCCUUGGUAUUCCGAGGGGCAUGCCUGUUCGAGCGUCAUUACACCACUCAAGCUAUGCUUGGUAUUGGGCGUCGUCCUUAGUUGGGCGCGCCUUAAAGACCUCGGCGAGGCCACUCCGGCUUUAGGCGUAGUAGAAUUUAUUCGAACGUCUGUCAAAGGAGAGGAACUCUGCAGACUGAAACCUUUAUUUUUCUAGGUUGACCUCGGAUCAGGUAGGGAUACCCGCUGAACUUAAGCAUAUCAAUAAGCGGAGGA